GUGAAGCCCCCCUCAAGAUGAGAUAUCCAGACUCGAAAGAGUGAGAGACCCCUUAGAGACGAUGAGGUAGAUAGGGCAGAGAUGGAAGCACAGUGAUGUGUGGAGUUGACUGUUACUAAUCGGUCGAAAGCUUGACCUUA
Molecule: ribosomal RNA, 140 nt
Filed under: Anaerobutyricum soehngenii
Lineage: Bacteria; Bacillati; Bacillota; Clostridia; Lachnospirales; Lachnospiraceae
Description: partial 23S ribosomal RNA
Rfam family: Bacterial large subunit ribosomal RNA
Source: RNAcentral